GAAAAAUUUCGGGUAUCAUAUUUCAACGAAAAUGUCCAUUUUGAUCGCUCCGGAAUCCAUUUAAUUUUUUUUUUUUUUUUUGGUGACAUAUAUGUGCACGACAGAAAAAAACGCUGUUUUUUCCUUCCAAAAAGGGAUUUAAAACGGAUUCAGAAGGCAUUUUUUUCCGUGAUGUCAGUACGUACGUAUCUCGCAUUACUCAAAAACGAGUAGCCGUAAAACGUUGAAAUUUUGUAUAUGGGACUAGUAUAACAUGUAGUUACGCAUCUAUCUUUUUCGCUGCAAUCGUACGCACCAAACAUAUAUAUAUAUUAUAUAUAUAAUUCAUCUUGUUACCUGGCUCGGUCAUCCGAAGCCCUGGGGCUGCGGGACGAGAACUUUUGUUCUUUGAAGUCGAGAGAGAAGGUAGGAAUUAUACUUCCUAAGACUUUGCUUGGCUUUCACCGCUACCAAGCAACAACAAAAGAUGUUGAUGCAAUGAUACAAGUUCGAAUUAAUGCUAUGGGAGGAGCUGCGAAGAGUGCUAGAAAAUUUAUCCCUUUGGGCAUAUAAUUUGGAAAAGGAAGGUCUUUCGAAAACGUUCAAGACAUUAACUACCUUCUCGCGGGAUUUAUGUUUUAAAAAAAAUGUGCAAUAAAUAAGCUGCUAUAGAC
Molecule: long non-coding RNA, 653 nt
Organism: Stegodyphus dumicola
Lineage: Eukaryota; Metazoa; Arthropoda; Arachnida; Araneae; Eresidae
Source: RefSeq, a predicted model, not a curated record